This 465-nucleotide ribosomal RNA is filed under the name uncultured bacterium. RNAcentral's name for it is "partial 16S ribosomal RNA". It matches the Rfam family "Bacterial small subunit ribosomal RNA", at positions 28 to 507 of the family's 1533-position model. The record is from RNAcentral.
GACGAACGCUGGCGGCGUGCUUAACACAUGCAAGUCGAACGGAAAGGCCCUGCUUGCAGGGUACUCGAGUGGCGAACGGGUGAGUAACACGUGGGUGCUCUGCCCUGCACUUCGGGAUAAGCCUGGGAAACUGGGUCUAAUACCGGAUAGGAGCCAUUUUUAGUGUGAUGGUUGGAAAGUUUUUUCGGUGUAGGAUGAGCUCGCGGCCUAUCAGCUUGUUGGUGGGGUAAUGGCCUACCAAGGCGGCGACGGGUAGCCGGCCUGAGAGGGUGGACGGCCACAUUGGGACUGAGAUACGGCCCAGACUCCUACGGGAGGCAGCAGUGGGGAAUAUUGCACAAGGGGCGCAAGCCUGAUGCAGCGACGCCGCGUGGGGGAUGACGGCCUUCGGGUUGUAAACUCCUUUCGCUAGGGACGAAGCUUUUUGUGACGGUACCUAGAGAAGAAGCACCGGCUAACUACGUG